RNAcentral lists this unclassified non-coding RNA (317 nucleotides) under Cortinarius sp. Its description in RNAcentral is "partial contains small subunit ribosomal RNA, internal transcribed spacer 1, and 5.8S ribosomal RNA". The stretch from base 1 to 46 matches the Rfam family "Eukaryotic small subunit ribosomal RNA", at positions 1786 to 1831 of the family's 1831-position model. RNAcentral also lists the same sequence under 1 other name. Lineage: Eukaryota; Fungi; Basidiomycota; Agaricomycetes; Agaricales; Cortinariaceae. The record is from RNAcentral.
AAGUCGUAACAAGGUUUCCGUAGGUGAACCUGCGGAAGGAUCAUUAUUGAAAUAAACCUGAUGAGUUGUUGCUGGUUCUCUAGGGAACAUUGUGCACACUUGUUAUCUUUAUAUCUCCACCUGUGCACCUUUUGUAGACCUUGGAUAUCUCUCUGAGUGCUUGCACUUGGGUUUGAGGAUUGAUUUCAUUGUCUUUUCCUUACAUUUCCAGGCCUAUGUUUCUUCAUAUACCCCAAAUCUAUGUUAUAGAAUGUAAUAAAUGGGCCUUUGUGCCUAUAAACUAAAUACAACUUUCAGCAACGGAUCUCUUGGCUCUC